GUAGGUGGCAAGCGUUGUCCGGAAUUAUUGGGCGUAAAGCGCGCGCAGGCGGGUUCUUUAAGUCUGAUGUGAAAGCCCACGGGCUCAACCGUGGAGGGUCAUUGGAAACUGGAGAACUUGAGUACAGAAGAGGAAAGCGGAAUUCCACGUGUAGCGGUGAAAUGCGUAGAGAUGUGGAGGAACACCAGUGGCGAGGGCGGCUUUCUGGUCUGUAACUGACGCUGAGGCGCGAAAGCGUGGGGAGCAAACAGGAUUAGAUACCCUGGUAGUCCACGCCGUAAACGAUGAGUGCUAAGUGUUAGGGGGUUUCCGCCCCUUAGUGCUGCAGCUAACGCAUUAAGCACUCCGCCUGGGGAGUACGGCCGCAAGGCUG
RNAcentral lists this ribosomal RNA (373 nucleotides) under uncultured organism. RNAcentral's name for it is "partial 16S ribosomal RNA". It matches the Rfam family "Bacterial small subunit ribosomal RNA", at positions 527 to 896 of the family's 1533-position model. The record is from RNAcentral.